RNAcentral lists this ribosomal RNA (497 nucleotides) under uncultured bacterium. RNAcentral's name for it is "partial 16S ribosomal RNA". It matches the Rfam family "Bacterial small subunit ribosomal RNA", at positions 28 to 507 of the family's 1533-position model. The record is from RNAcentral.
GUUGGACGCUGGCGGCGUGCCUAAUACAUGCAAGUCGAGCGAACAGACGAGGAGCUUGUUCCUCUGACGUUAGCGGCGCACGGGUGAGUAACACGUGGAUAACCUACCUAUAAGACUGGGAUAACUUCGGGAAACCGGAGCUAAUACCGGAUAAUAUAUUGAACCGCAUGGUUCAAUAGUGAAAGACGGUUUUGCUGUCACUUAUAGAUGGAUCCGCGCCGCAUUAGCUAGUUGGUAAGGUAACGGCUUACCAAGGCAACGAUGCGUAGCCGACCUGAGAGGGUGAUCGGCCACACUGGAACUGAGACACGGUCCAGACUCCUACGGGAGGCAGCAGUAGGGAAUCUUCCGCAAUGGGCGAAAGCCUGACGGAGCAACGCCGCGUGAGUGAUGAAGGUCUUCGGAUCGUAAAACUCUGUUAUUGGGGAAGAACAAAUGUGUAAGUAACUAUGCACGUCUUGACGGUACCUAAUCAGAAAGCAACGGCUAACUACGUG